This 209-nucleotide long non-coding RNA is filed under the name Elaeis guineensis (African oil palm). RNAcentral's name for it is "long non-coding RNA (EGUI_LNC074059)". Lineage: Eukaryota; Viridiplantae; Streptophyta; Magnoliopsida; Arecales; Arecaceae. The record is from RNAcentral.
CCUUCUCCUCCUCUCGUUGGGAAGAAUUUUUCUUCUCUAAUUUUUUACUAUAAUACCAGCAAGAGAGGCUCCCUUUGAUGCUUAAGAACCAGCAAGCAAGGAUCCCAAAAUUUCCUUCCAAAGGGGUUGGAGAACAAGCUUGGCAUGUGGAGUCUUUGGGAUGUCCAACUCUUGGACACCCCCCUCCUUUUUUUUCUUUUGGGUGACAC